AGCAGCCGCGGUAAUUCCAGCUCCAAUAGCGUAUAUUAAAGUUGUUGCAGUUAAAAAGCUCGUAGUUGAAUUUCGGGAUCAAUAUGUUGGUCGUGCCUUGGUACGUACUGGCGUCAUUGGUUUCUACCUUCUGAAGAACCUCGAUGUCAUUAAUUUGGUGUCUUGGGGAAUCAGGACUGUUACUUUGAAAAAUUAGAGUGUUUAAAGCAAGCUCACGCUUGAAUACAUUAGCAUGGAAUAAUGAAAUAGGACGUUUGAUUCUAUUUUGUUGGUUUCUAGGAUCGACGUAAUGAUUAAUAGGGAUAGUUGGGGCAUUAGUAUUCAAUUGUCAGAGGUGAAAUUCUUGGAUUUAUUGAAGACUAACUACUGCGAAAGCAUUUGCCAAGGAUGUUUUCAUUAAUACAAGAACGAAAGUUAGGGGAUCGAAGACGAUCAGAUACCGUCGUAGUCUUAACCAUAAACUAUAGCCGACUAGGGAUCGGAUGAUGUUAAUUUUAU
This 498-nucleotide ribosomal RNA is filed under the name uncultured Glomus. RNAcentral's name for it is "SSU rRNA". It matches the Rfam family "Eukaryotic small subunit ribosomal RNA", at positions 569 to 1072 of the family's 1831-position model. Lineage: Eukaryota; Fungi; Glomeromycota; Glomeromycetes; Glomerales; Glomeraceae. The record is from RNAcentral.